UGGAGGCUUGAGAAAGUUCUGCUGUUUGUUUAAUACAGUCAUAACUGGUUAUAUCCUCCAAAAUCAAAUCUCAAUCACUACAUUCAUAUCUGACUUUUUCAUUCAGAUAAUGAGACGUGUUUGAGUACAUUCC
Small nucleolar RNA from Trichomycterus rosablanca, 133 nucleotides. RefSeq annotates it as small nucleolar RNA SNORA47. The record is from RefSeq and is a predicted model, not a curated record. The transcript has a single exon. NCBI's taxonomy places the organism in Eukaryota, Metazoa, Chordata, Actinopteri, Siluriformes, Trichomycteridae.